RNAcentral lists this long non-coding RNA (822 nucleotides) under Homo sapiens (human). Its description in RNAcentral is "HSALNT0210541". The record is from RNAcentral. Lineage: Eukaryota; Metazoa; Chordata; Mammalia; Primates; Hominidae.
AAGCCGUAGGGGAUUGUUCUCCAGUCUUGACUUUGAGAACUUGGUAGAGCUCCUGAAGGCUCACCUGAUAAGAGAUGUAUGUCACAAUCUGCUCACCCUGGCAUUUCUCUAAAUAGAAGGUUCAUCUGUCUGAAUAUAGAUAUCAAGAAGUGGCAGAGUAUCAGAGGAGAAAGAUAUCAAGAAAUAGAAUAUUCAAGCUGUUUCAACUUCUACCCGUUCCACAUUUCCGAAGCUACUUCCACAUUUCAGGUAGCAAGAAACAGGCCUCUGAAAUUUAAGAACCACAAAACAAUAAAAGAAGUAAACUCUUUUGUUGAAAAGCUCCAAUUCCCCUGUAAACGUCUCAUUCAGAGUCUAAUUGUAACCCAAUUAAGAAAAUUAAGAUGAGUAGAAACAGCUGGAACAGAAGGCACUUGGGGUGAAGUGUACCCUCUGCAGUCAUUAUUUGAUGGAGAUCAUUACCCAACUCUACACACAGCACAUGAUAUUUAAUAUGAUUGGACUAAUUUAUAUCUGAAAAGAAUAAAAGUAUGUUAUGUAAAUAAAUCGAGUGACCUAUUAGCUCAAAUUCUUAAACACUCAGUUAUCCAACGUUGCAAGUACAGUCAUGUGAUAAACCUUCAAAAUGCGGUUAGUCCUCUUUCUGUAUCUGUCCACAGCAUUACCUUUUUUCCUUUUGGUCAUGGCAAUAUAUUCAUCUCAUGAGUGUUACAGCCAGAGAUGCACCAGUAACAACAUUGUGAUGUCCCAUGUUUAAUUUUAUGUGUGGUGAGUGUUAAAGGGAGAAUAAAGCCUUAAUUUGAAUUUAAAACUGGUAAUUAC